AAUCCAGUUCCACACUGUGAGGAGGAGUCAAUGCAAAACUCAGAUGUCUUCCACCUCUACUUAUCUGACUGCAGAGAGGAUGACAGAGAACAGUGGACACACAGUUUAACAUGAUGGACUAUAGGACAGGACUGCUGCUGUUAACUAUCUGCUGGGCAGGUGUUGAUGGUCAGACUCUGACAGAAUCUGAACCAGUGGUUAAAAGGCCUGGAGAAUCUCACAGAUUGACCUGUACAGCCUCUGGAUUCACAUUUAGUGACUACGAGAUGGCCUGGGUCAGACAGGCUCCUGGAAAAGGACUGGAGUGGGUUUCUCUUCUCAGCAAACCUAGUGGUAGCACCAAACACUACUCUCAGUCAGUUCAAGGCCGGUUUACCAUCUCCAGAGACAACAGCAGACAGCAGGUGUAUCUGCAGAUGAACAGUCUGAAGACUGAAGAUUCUGCUGUUUAUUAUUGUGCUCGACACCCACAGUGACUGGAGUUGGUUGAGCAGCUGU
This is a non-coding RNA of Dicentrarchus labrax (European seabass), 498 nucleotides long. Lineage: Eukaryota; Metazoa; Chordata; Actinopteri; Moronidae. The record is from the annotation of a RefSeq genome assembly.